AGCGAGGCUAAGCGAGUGGGGGGAAAGUUUCAGUGCAUUCCGUUGAUGUAGACGGCGUGAAAACGGAAACAAGAAGUAUGCCGGCUCACUGUGCUGCAUACAGUUACACACUACGUCGUACGAUUGAGACAAGGAAACUCGGAAUGACUUUUCAUAGGUUUCCCAGAGACUAUGGGUUGAGGAGGAAGUGGAAGUUUGUCGGCUUAGACCUGGUGUCAUUCCAUCAGUGUUAAACUUCCCGGCUCAUCUUGGAAGAGUACGUGCCAGAAAGACCACGACCAAGCAGCCUUGAGAUCUUAGGCAGCGUCUCCCUGAGACCAAAGAACUACAGACUCUUCACAACCUGCUCAAACUCUUGGUACAGGACCUCACCACACGGGUCAAGAAGGUUUCCAUCUCAUUUCUACUCUGAAGCUCACCUUCUCCUGCUCAAACUGCUGAC
Amphiprion ocellaris (clown anemonefish) is the source of this 442-nucleotide long non-coding RNA. The record is from Ensembl. NCBI's taxonomy places the organism in Eukaryota, Metazoa, Chordata, Actinopteri, Pomacentridae.